Long non-coding RNA from Nyctereutes procyonoides (raccoon dog), 1475 nucleotides. RefSeq lists it as uncharacterized. The record is from RefSeq and is a predicted model, not a curated record. Lineage: Eukaryota; Metazoa; Chordata; Mammalia; Carnivora; Canidae. The transcript is spliced from 5 exons.
GUGGCUGCCAUGAUAGGCACCAACAAGGGGCAGCCAGGUGCAGGCCAGUGCCCAGGAGCAGCGCUGGCUGGGAGUCCAGACUCCUCAUCUUAGCUCUCUUCCUCCUGCUGCUUCCAUUUCUGCACAGAAGCCUCCAUCCCUCCAAAGAGAUGCUGCUACACCUGGGACAAGUUCAUCGUCAUCCCCAUGGAUCCCCAGAAGUCCGAGGCUGAAGACUGCAGGACCUACACCCAGAAAAUCCUAGGAGCUCUGCCCUCCAUGGAGAGACCUAUGCUACCAGUGUCAACACUUAGCUGUGUCCCAGCUUCCUGCUGGGUGACCCUGGACAAGUGUCCUGCCCUCUCUGGGCCCAGUUUACCUGUCACCAGGUGAAGGGUACGCAGAAGAACUUCUUAUCCAGCCAGAGUUGUGGAGGACAGUCCAAAAUCAGCAUCACUGGGCCAAGAUCAAGGUGUCAGGUGGGCUGCAGUCCCUCCAAAAGCUCAAGAGGAGAGUCGGUUCUCUGUGGCUUCCAACUUCUGGUUGCUGCUGGCAUUCCUGGGCUUCUGGCUGCCCCACCCCAUCUCCAACUCCACCUUCACAUGGCCUCUCCUCUGUGUGUGAUGUCCCUCUGACCAUCUCUUGUGAGCACAGUGAUGGCAGUUAGGACUUGGUUGGACAAUCCAGAAAAAUCUCUGCAUCUCAAGAUCUUUAACUUCUUCACAUCUGUAAAACUUUUAUCACAUGAGGUCACAUUUACAGGUUUCCACGGAUUAGGACCUGUGCUCUUUGGGGGGAGGGGAGCGCACCAUUCAGCCCACUCCAAUUUUACUAUAUGUGCUGCUGAAGCGAGCACCAGCCCACUCCAGAUUCAGGGUAGAAGGGCCUGGAGGCUACAGGCUGACUGCGAUUUGGCCAGGUAUCCUGUGAUUCUCAAGGAUUCACUGACUCAGCAAAUGCAGGAGUAUUAGCGAGAGACAGAGGGAGGUGAGAGACAGAGGGAGGCGUAAAGGGUCCACACUAGAGAGGUCCUGGUGGGGAGAAACUGAGGCACCUCCCAACAGCCAACACCAAUUUGCUGGCCUCCUGAGUAAGCCUCCUUGCAACUGGACUGUGCACGUGUUAAGUCUUUGGAUGACUGCAGCCCCAGUCUGAACCUCAUGAGAGAUCCAGGGCCAGAACCACCCAGAAGUGCCCAGCUAAGCCUAACUUUCUGAGCCUCAGUAACAUUGAUUUUUGCUUUAAACUGUUAAUGUUUGGGGCACCUGGGUGGUUCAGUUGGUUAAGCAUCUGCCUUUGCCUCAGGUCAUGAUGCUGGGGUCCUGGGAUUGAGCCCCACAUCAGGUUCCUUGCUCCUUGGGGAGUCUGCUUCUCCCUCUCCCUCUGCCCUCCUCCCUGCUUGUGUGCUUACGCUCUUUCUCUCUCUGUCAAAUAAAUCAAUCAAAUCUUAAAAAAAAAAAAGCUGUUAAAGUUUGAGUCAUCUGGGCAGUAACUAA